This 76-nucleotide transfer RNA is filed under the name Acidobacteriota bacterium. RNAcentral describes it as "Acidobacteria bacterium tRNA-Ala". It matches the Rfam family "tRNA". From Rfam's summary of the family: Transfer RNA (tRNA) molecules are approximately 80 nucleotides in length. Their secondary structure includes four short double-helical elements and three loops (D, anti-codon, and T loops). Further hydrogen bonds mediate the characteristic L-shaped molecular structure. tRNAs have two regions of fundamental functional importance: the anti-codon, which is responsible for specific mRNA codon recognition, and the 3' end, to which the tRNAs corresponding amino acid is attached (by aminoacyl-tRNA synthetases). tRNAs cope with the degeneracy of the genetic code in two manners: having more than one tRNA (with a specific anti-codon) for a particular amino acid; and 'wobble' base-pairing, i.e. permitting non-standard base-pairing at the 3rd anti-codon position. The record is from RNAcentral. RNAcentral also lists the same sequence under 1 other name. Lineage: Bacteria; Pseudomonadati; Acidobacteriota.
GGGCGGCUAGCUCAGUUGGAAGAGCGCCUCGUUCGCAACGAGGAGGCCGGGGGUUCGAGUCCCCUGCCGUCCACCA